CGCCGGACGCGAUUCGACAACGCGGCGAGAUUUUUCAGUUAAUAAAACAGCCAAUGAAAGGAAAUUCUAAAAGAUAUGUAGACCAAAUAAACUCAAAAUGUUAUAGCGCUUCUACAUAUUUGGAAAACUUCAACCAGGAUCAAAGUUAUCGGUCAGUGACUAAAUCGAAAAAUCGCGCCGCGUUGCCAUGAAUCGCUCCGUUGGGCCAUGAAACUAACGUUCUCCAAAGUUGGAAACAGUUUGAAAGUCAAUUAACAACAAAAUGUUACUCACACGUUAAAUUGAUUGACCAAAAAUUAGCUUAAUAAUAUUCUCCUUUCAAUUGAAAUGGGGUCUGGUUAGGAAGGCAUUCGAGAGUCGUUUAAGAUCUACGACGCGGCCGGCUCGACGACGCGGCCGGCUCGACGACGCGCUUUCGAAACAAAGAAAUUUGUUAUGCAAGACAAAAACUGUGAAUAAUUUGUGGUUCCAGACCCAGGGUAUUCACAACGGUUUUGUCAUUCUCAACACACAACGUUAAACUAAAUAUCACGUCUUUCAAGCAACGUGAAAGCUUAUUGCUACCAGAGCCGCCGAG
Molecule: non-coding RNA, 577 nt
Organism: Paramuricea clavata
Lineage: Eukaryota; Metazoa; Cnidaria; Anthozoa; Malacalcyonacea; Plexauridae
Source: the annotation of a GenBank genome assembly